This 398-nucleotide ribosomal RNA is filed under the name uncultured Telonemia. RNAcentral's name for it is "partial small subunit ribosomal RNA". It matches the Rfam family "Eukaryotic small subunit ribosomal RNA", at positions 30 to 432 of the family's 1831-position model. The record is from RNAcentral. Lineage: Eukaryota; Telonemia.
GCUUGUCUCAAAGAUUAAGCCAUGCAUGUCUAAGUAUAAGCCUUUACACGGUGAGACUGCGAAUGGCUCAUUAAAUCAGAAACUGUUUAUUUGAUAGUGCCUACUACUUGGAUAACCGUAGUAAUUCUAGAGCUAAUACAUGCAAAAAGCCUGGACUUCUGGAACAGGCGUAUUUAUUAGAUAUACAAACCAACCGCUUCGGCGACCUUGGGUGACUCAUAAUAACUUUGCGAAUCGCAUGGCCUUGCGCCGGCGAUGAAUCAUUCAAAUUUCUGCCCUAUCAACUUUCGAUGGUAAGGUAUUGGCUUACCAUGGUCGCAACGGGUAACGGGGAAUAAGGGUUCGGUUCCGGAGAGGGAGCCUGAGAAAUGGCUACCACAUCCAAGGAAGGCAGCAGG